Molecule: non-coding RNA, 110 nt
Organism: Rhypophila decipiens
Lineage: Eukaryota; Fungi; Ascomycota; Sordariomycetes; Sordariales; Naviculisporaceae
Source: the annotation of a GenBank genome assembly
GGGACCUUGGCGCAGUUGGUUAGCGCGCAGGUCUCAUAGCUUCCUGGCUAUGAUCUGGUGAGAACAUCGGAGUCAUCCUGAGGUCGUGAGUUCGAUCCUCACAGGUCCCA